AACGUAGGUUCCGAGCGUUAUCCGGAUUUACUGGGCGUAAAGCGCUUUCAGGCGGUUUGGCAAGUCGGGCAUGAAAUCUCUCGGCUCAACCGGGAGAGGUUGUCCGAUACUGCUGGACUUGAGGGCAGUAGAGGGUGGUGGAAUUCCGGGUGUAGUGGUGAAAUGCGUAGAUAUCCGGAGGAACACCAGUGGCGAAAGCGGCCACCUGGACUGCACCUGACGCUGACACGCGAAAGCUAGGGGAGCGAACGGG
Molecule: ribosomal RNA, 253 nt
Filed under: uncultured bacterium
Lineage: Bacteria
Description: partial 16S ribosomal RNA
Rfam family: Bacterial small subunit ribosomal RNA
Source: RNAcentral